UUCUCAAAGUCGCAACUCAUUCAUGAGACGCGCGCGCGUUCCGUCGUCAUUCGCAGUGAAUGCUGAUUGCUAGAAGUGAUUGUAUGAAAAAGCAAAAAAAAAAAAUAAUAAAAAAUAUAAAACACAAAUUAAAACAUAAUAAUAAAAUUAAGUAUGAAAACAAAUGCUUAAAAAAUGAAAAACAAACAACUACAAAUUGCAAAUGUUUAAUAAAACGCAAUAUUCAGUAUACAAUAUUUGUAUGUGUGUUUGUAUGUACGCUCAUUAAAAAAUCAGCUAAUCGUAUAUUUACCUCGUCUAUAUUCACUGCGAGCGCUGCAAUUAACGUUUAUAAAAUUGAUGAAAUGUGCAUGAGAGAUUAAUAACGGCAUUACAAUCAGCCAUAAAAGUUACGAAUGCGUGAAAACACAGCGAGGAACGGCUGUAAAAUAUACUCACUCGGUCAGCAGUGUAUGAGAACCCGCGCGUUCAGGCGUCUCCAUAUCCGAUCGUUAUCUACCACAUAUGCGCCACAAAAUUGUCGUGUAAACAAACUCCUCGCUUGCGUCUGCAGAAUACUUAGUGUCAAGUUGCGUUUAAUAGCGAUUCGCGAACGGACCAACAAUACAUAUUUAUGUACUUACACACAUACACGAGUACAACGGCGAUCGGGCAGCAAUCAGCUAGAGCUAGCCACUGAGCGAGCCAGCCACAGCCAUCGAACCAAUUCGCCAGCAACGCGCUGCCGAACGGCGACGCAUGGAGCUUGGGAUUGCCCGCGUGUCUGCGAGUGCGACAAAGGCGAUUACAAGCGCGAUUCCAAACUUUAGCAGAUAUCAAUCCACACGCUGAGCAUAAUUAAUUUGCCUUAGCCUUAUGCCAUUUGUGUCGGUCAGUAAGUAGUGAGAGCUAACUUGGUGUGCCCCGUAUACAGAACCCCAGCCAGCGACGAAACUUGAUUAUUGAUCACGUACGCGUCCGUAUCUGCCCGCCGCGGCAAUGCGCUACCGACAGCGCCUGCCUACUGCUAUAAGUGUUUGCAAAGUCACAUAAAUAAUUGUAUAUUUGUAAACAUAUACAUAUAUUAGUUCAUUGGUUUGUAGAUAUGCUCACGCGAUUGCUCUGAAUAUUGCCACAUAUUUAUGUAUGUAUGUAUGUGCAUACAUUUGUAUGUCCAUAAUUAUAAACUUAAGUUUGUGCGUGCGUAACAAUCGAUGUUCUACAACAAAAUUCUACAAAUAAGUAUUAUAAGUGUACUACGUAAAUAUGCAUAUGUACAUAUGUACGACAAGGAGAAUAAAUAAAAUUAACAAUAACAACAUCAAAGCCCACAAACAAUAAGCUGCUGUGCUCCACCUCGCAAUGCUAUCGAGUCUGCUCGCAACAAUUGCUACUCUAUAAACGAUAUGAUUAUGCUGAAUAAUGAAAAAUGUAUCUAUGCAAUUUGGCAAUGAAAUUACUAAAAGUCCGAAAUUUUGGAUAUCAGCAAAAGUUUCCGAAUAAAAAUUCCAUCUAAAAUGUAUCCAUGCA
This 1509-nucleotide long non-coding RNA is filed under the name Rhagoletis pomonella (apple maggot). Its description in RNAcentral is "uncharacterized LOC118751478". Lineage: Eukaryota; Metazoa; Arthropoda; Insecta; Diptera; Tephritidae. The record is from RNAcentral.